AGCUCCAAUAGCAUAUAUUAAAGUUGCUGCAGUUAAAAAGCUCGUAGUUGGAUCUCGGGUGCCCGAAAGGGUUGAAUGUACGCCGGCGGUCGUGCUCACGCGCGUACUGCUGGCGACAGCCCACCUGAGUCGAUUUGCCGGGUCUUUGCUUCGCGGCGGGGCUCGGGGGCGUGUAAAAGCGCGCGCCUGGUGGCCUUUACCGGGUGCCGGGUGAGGUCGAUAAUUUUACCUUGAGUAAAUUAGAGUGUUCAAAGCAAGGUUGCUCGAAUAGUUGUGCAUGGAAUAAUGGAACAGGUCUCAGCGCCUUUCCGUUGGUCAGUGGUAGUCAGAGAAAUGAUUAAAAGGGACUGCCGGGGGCAUCGGUAUGGCGGGGGGAGAGGUGAAAUUCAUGGAUCCUCGCCAGACCAACAAUAGCGAAAGCAUUUGCCAAGAAUGUCUUCA
This 441-nucleotide ribosomal RNA is filed under the name marine Metazoa environmental sample. Its description in RNAcentral is "SSU rRNA". It matches the Rfam family "Eukaryotic small subunit ribosomal RNA", at positions 587 to 972 of the family's 1831-position model. Lineage: Eukaryota; Metazoa. The record is from RNAcentral.